GCAGACAUUACGCGAAUACGCAAUCCGAGGUUAAAAGAGGUGGGUGAAGGAUGGCUACUGGCACUAGCUGCUCAUGCUCCUGGCCUACCAGAAUAGGUAACGUGACUGGGUAGUUCACGACUAAGGCUCCAAAGCAGUUUCGAAAACAGUGCGACGCAGCAAAUGUGCGCAGAUCCACUGAUGAGCUGGCUAUCUGAGGUUAGAGGACAAGCAACGCUGACCGAUCAUGCCUUCGGUCACCUUCAUAGCUCCCACUGAUGUGAGACCAGCCCGCUUGGCGGUUCAUUCCGCAUUCUCAUCGUCGCCAGACCCAAC
RNAcentral lists this small RNA (315 nucleotides) under Histoplasma capsulatum. RNAcentral describes it as "hypothetical RNA". The record is from RNAcentral. Lineage: Eukaryota; Fungi; Ascomycota; Eurotiomycetes; Onygenales; Ajellomycetaceae. RNAcentral also lists the same sequence under 1 other name.